This is a long non-coding RNA of Helianthus annuus (common sunflower), 648 nucleotides long. RefSeq lists it as uncharacterized. The record is from RefSeq and is a predicted model, not a curated record. Lineage: Eukaryota; Viridiplantae; Streptophyta; Magnoliopsida; Asterales; Asteraceae. The transcript is spliced from 2 exons.
ACUCUCUCUCUUCAUCUCUGAUGAAGAUGAAUCUUCAUCUUCAACAUCUUCAUCUUAAAAUCGUUUUCUUUAGGUCCAAGUCAAGUGGCUAACUAAGUUUGAAGAGUAGAUAACCAUUUUUUAACAGUAGAUUACUACAUGGCUUAAUUAAUAUAUGUGUGGGAGCGAGAAGUGAGAGAGUAAGAGAGAGAGAGGAGUCAGAGAAGACAGUGGAUGGCGGUAGCGCUGCCGCUCACGGCGGCGGCAGUAGAGACACAGGCGGCGGCGGUCCAGGUUGUUCCGACGAGUGUCAAGGUAACCCCCCUCUCGCUUCCUUUUACCGUACUGAAGUCGGAUAAUGAUGGAUCAGGAUGAUGAUGCUGUUUUUUUUUUAUAUUUGAUUGAUGAUGAUGGAGUCGGUGGUGGCCGACGAUGGCAGCCGGCGAAGCAGCGGCACAGCGGCGACGAUAGUAAAGGUGGAGUCGGUGGUGGUCGACGAUGACGGUAAAGGUGGGGGUACGUCGGAGCUCCGAUCCGGUCGGCGACGGUAAUGUAGGUUCCGGUGACCCAUGUAAAUAUACCGAUCACCUUUAGAAGUGCUUAAGAUGUUUUUGGAUUGUUUUUUGGGUUUUGUUGGUUACAUGAUAUGUUGCUUAAGAUGUUUUUGGA